Oncorhynchus tshawytscha (Chinook salmon) is the source of this 1881-nucleotide long non-coding RNA. NCBI's taxonomy places the organism in Eukaryota, Metazoa, Chordata, Actinopteri, Salmoniformes, Salmonidae. The record is from Ensembl.
UCCCUUCGCAAGCAAGACUCCAAGCUCAUGGAUACUCUGAACAACAAGCUUGGGAGAAGAACCAGUUUGGAGUUGCUUUCAGGAGCCAAUGAUUCACUUAAGUCUCCAGGACAUCCUGUCAUGUCCAAGGUGGUUUCCAAAGUUUCCUCUGCUGCUAAGGAAAGGAGACUCUGCUACCAGACCUCACCGAUGGAGACCCUGCUACCAGACCUCACCGAUAGAGGCCCAACCUCCUCCAGUCUCCCGCACACCUUUAGCAGCUGAGACUCGACCAUCAGUCAACAUGACGCUGUUCUCGUAGAAGAUAUUUAAACCAUGUUGUAGCAAGUAAAGAAAAACUUUUAUUGGUGAUGAAAAUGCUGUUGAUAAUACACAGUAAUGUGAAGGAGCUUUUCGCACCAGGGCCGCUAAAACAAACUGAACAAAACAUGUAAAACAGUAAGACACCGCGGGAAAACGUUUUCGUAUAGCAAAAGUAACGCGUUAAAGCUAGAAUCCUUAGAUGCUACAUCAAUUUUUAAUGAUAUCCAUUGAUUCUUGAAUAAUACAACUUAUAAAUGCCUCACGAACUUAGUUCAGCUGUCGUUCCCCAUUAGAACCCCAAAUAUAAGCUUGUUUUACUCAAGUGUUUGUAUACAAUAUAAAUGUAAACAAACACUGUAUAGCCUCAAAACAUGGUUAAAAGUAUCAUGUUGAUACCAUGGAUGGGCAGUCCUUGCAUCCAUAGCUCUAUGAAUUUGAGCGGUUACAUGUCUCCAGGUUCACCCCUCAGCUAUUGACCCUUUGUUAUUGUUUCAAGUAAGGAUUCAAGCUUUAAGUGCAAAGUGUACCAUAAACUUCAUUGUAAUCUGGCAAUAUGAUUUAAUCUCAAACCUUUUUUUCAAUAAUGUGUUAUUUAACUAGAGUUUAGUAAACUGGGCAAUACAUAAAUAAUAACCAUCUUUAUAACAUAAAUUGUUGAAGAAAAGUUUCAAACUAAAUUACACUGCCAGAUUACAAUGCGGUUUAUUGUAAAAUGUUCAUUUAACACUACAGAAAUGUAGCCUCUUGUUUAAAGAUGUCAUUUCAUUGUGGCAAAUACUUACAUCAAAUGUAGAUAAAUACAGAUAAUCCCAUUGUAUAGAGGCACACACACACAACCGCUACAAAGGUUAUUGUAGUGUAAAAAAUAACCUUGCAUUUUAUGGAUAAAUCAUGUUUUUAAGAAUGAUGGUUAAUCUCUUCACUCACAUGCAGAAAAAAAAAGAAGAAAUAAAUCUGACUCGAGCAGAAACAUGUCUAGCCUGGUCCCAGAUCUGUUUGUGCUGUUUUGCCAACUCAAGAGUCAUUGGUCAUCACCGACCAUCGGACUUGUCUAAGCAUCAAACAGAUCUGGGCCCAAGAUAUAAUGUGGGGAUGAUCAAUAGGUUAAAAUCAAUAGACCAAAAUCAAUAGACCAAUACUAGAAGAGACCUGAUUGGACCCAAGUGAUCAGCCAAGUUGCACUUCUGGUUAAUGAAUAGGUCUUUAUACUGUAUGUUGUCUAGGCCUUCUAUAAAUCAAUAAAUUCACCGUAUUAGCAUAUGCAGAGCUGUGGUUGUGUCCAUUCGGAUCUAUCAGCUGUAGUUAAAUUGACCCGAGACCCAAUGACAAUCGAACAGGACCCGACCCAGACCCCAAGGAAAAGUUAGAAUCUUUUAGACCAGUUCAGGUCCCGGGUAUUCAGGUGGACCCACGAAGGCCUUUACCUUUGAGUGGUCUAUGUAAUAUUGGUGGCAUGUUAAUAACAUCCUGAACUACACCAAAUAAUAGUAAUAAACUCCCAUUAAAAAGUGUUGAAUGGAAGAAUACUAAACACGUACAAAAUGUGUAUCAAACCAAACAAGCGUGGAUUAUUUCACC